Molecule: ribosomal RNA, 272 nt
Filed under: uncultured bacterium
Lineage: Bacteria
Description: partial 16S ribosomal RNA
Rfam family: Bacterial small subunit ribosomal RNA
Source: RNAcentral
CUCCGCCAGCGACCGGCGCACGGGUGAGUAACACGUAUCGCAACCUGCCCCUGUCAGGGGACAACCCGCCGAAAGGCGGGCUAAACCCGCGUACAUGCCACCGGGGCAUCCCGGAGGCAGGAAAGGCUUCGGCCGGACAGGGAUGGGCAUGCGGCGCAUUAGGCAGUAGGCGGGGUAACGGCCCACCUAACCGACGAUGCGUAGGGGUUCUGAGAGGAAGGUCCCCCACACUGGUACUGAGACACGGACCAGACUCCUACGGAAGGCAGCAG